RNAcentral lists this ribosomal RNA (740 nucleotides) under Salmonella enterica subsp. enterica. RNAcentral describes it as "partial 23S ribosomal RNA". It matches the Rfam family "Bacterial large subunit ribosomal RNA", at positions 583 to 1323 of the family's 2925-position model. Lineage: Bacteria; Pseudomonadati; Pseudomonadota; Gammaproteobacteria; Enterobacterales; Enterobacteriaceae. The record is from RNAcentral.
CUUUUGGGUGUGACUGCGUACCUUUUGUAUAAUGGGUCAGCGACUUAUAUUCUGUAGCAAGGUUAACCGAAUAGGGGAGCCGGAGGGAAACCGAGUCUUAAUUGGGCGUUAAGUUGCAGGGUAUAGACCCGAAACCCGGUGAUCUAGCCAUGGGCAGGUUGAAGGUUGGGUAACACUAACUGGAGGACCGAACCGACUAAUGUUGAAAAAUUAGCGGAUGACCUGUGGCUGGGGGUGAAAGGCCAAUCAAACCGGGAGAUAGCUGGUUCUCCCCGAAAGCUAUUUAGGUAGCGCCUCGUGAAUUCAUCUCCGGGGGUAGAGCACUGUUUCGGCUAGGGGGCCAUCCCGGCUUACCAACCCGAUGCAAACUGCGAAUACCGGAGAAUGUUAUCACGGGAGACACACGGCGGGUGCUAACGUCCGUCGUGAAGAGGGAAACAACCCAGACCGCCAGCUAAGGUCCCAAAGUCAUGGUUAAGUGGGAAACGAUGUGGGAAGGCCCAGACAGCCAGGAUGUUGGCUUAGAAGCAGCCAUCAUUUAAAGAAAGCGUAAUAGCUCACUGGUCGAGUCGGCCUGCGCGGAAGAUGUAACGGGGCUAAACCAUGCACCGAAGCUGCGGCAGCGACGCUGAUGCGUUGUUGGGUAGGGGAGCGUUCUGUAAGCCUGCGAAGGUGGCCUGUGAGGGUUGCUGGAGGUAUCAGAAGUGCGAAUGCUGACAUAAGUAACGAUAAAGCGGGUG